UGGGGAAUAUUGGACAAUGGGCGCAAGCCUGAUCCAGCCAUGCCGCGUGGGUGAAGAAGGCCUUCGGGUUGUAAAGCCCUUUUGUUGGGGAAGAAAUCGUACGGGUGAAUAUCCCGUGCGGAUGACGGUACCCAAAGAAUAAGCACCGGCUAACUUCGUGCCAGCAGCCGCGGUAAUACGAAGGGUGCAAGCGUUACUCGGAAUUACUGGGCGUAAAGCGUGCGUAGGCGGUUCGUUAAGUCUGUCGUGAAAGCCCUGGGCUCAACCUGGGAAUUGCGAUGGAUACUGGCGAGCUAGAGUGCGGUAGAGGAUGGUGGAAUUCCCGGUGUAGCGGUGAAAUGCGUAGAGAUCGGGAGGAACACCCGUGGCGAAGGCGGCCAUCUGGACCAGCACUGACGCUGAGGCACGAAAGCGUGGGGAGCAAACAGG
Molecule: ribosomal RNA, 429 nt
Filed under: Bacillota bacterium
Lineage: Bacteria; Bacillati; Bacillota
Description: Firmicutes bacterium partial 16S ribosomal RNA
Rfam family: Bacterial small subunit ribosomal RNA
Source: RNAcentral